This 253-nucleotide ribosomal RNA is filed under the name uncultured bacterium. Its description in RNAcentral is "partial 16S ribosomal RNA". It matches the Rfam family "Bacterial small subunit ribosomal RNA", at positions 524 to 776 of the family's 1533-position model. The record is from RNAcentral.
UACGUAGGGUGCAGGCGUUAAUCGGAAUUACUGGGCGUAAAGCGUGCGCAGGCGGUUUGCUAAGACAGGUGUGAAAUCCCCGGGCUUAACCUGGGAACUGCGCUUGUAACUGGCAAGCUAGAGUGUGGCAGAGGGGGGUGGAAUUCCACGUGUGGCAGUGAAAUGCGUAGAGAUGUGGAGGAACACCGAUGGCGAAGGCAGCCCCCUGGGCUAACACUGACGCUCAUGCACGAAAGCGUGGGGAGCAAACAGG